AUGGCAUAGGCGUCGUCGUUUUCAUGUGAUGGCCGAUUGUUGUGUUGAGUGGUUGUCAAAAGUUUUCCUAUUUUUCCAUGAAAAUUACCGAUGAAUUCAUAAGUAAAUUCAAGUUUGUUUCUGUGCAAUUUGUUUGUGAUGUGAUUUAUUCCGUUUGUUUUGCUGGAUCAAAUUCAAAAUUCCUCAAUAUAACCUGUUGGAAGGAACGGGAAAGGAAACAGUGCAUACAAGUAGCCUACCAUCACUAAUUCACUAUACCACCAACUCUUUUAUUAAAAAUCGUCGUUCUGCUGAAUGCAUCAUGCAGUUAAUACAGGUCACUACCCCAGUGUGGACGUUUGUUUUUCUGAACAUGUUUUUCAACAAAUAAUUCAUUGGCGUGCAAGGAAAGCUUAAAGCUUACCCAUGGGCAAUCUUCAGGUUAGCAGCAGCAGCUUAAGAGAAGAAUGUGAACAAAUGCAGGGCACAUACCAGCAUGUGCUGUAUUUUUCUUAAUGUUGAGCACGAGCAAUAGAUUCAACAUGACUAACUGUUUGAUGCCAAAGUUAGUUGGAAUUGGAACUCAACUCACUGUAUGUACUCUAACACAGAUAACUGGUGCUGUUGCCCUACAGCCACAGGCAGGAAAAUCAUUCUUUUUUUUUUUCAGAAAAUUGGAAAGCUGCUGGAGUAAUCUGGUGUUCAUGCUCAUUAAUUUCAUUUCGUGCCAGCUAGUGAAAGCCGAAAGGCAUGUCGAAUUCAAGUUGAGCUACUGCGUGUUGUCUCGAAGCAAGCAAUCCAGCCGUUGCGUUCAGUCAUUUGGAACAGGAAUCUAAUGGCUGUCAAUAGGUGGCUGUCAAAAGUUGGUUGGAAUGUCCACCAGGUAGCGCGAGUGUCUUCAGGGACGCAAUUGGGCCAUUUUGUUCCAAGACGCCCAGCAGAAAUGGUUGCUGGUCAUGACGUUUCUCACGAUGAAAAUUAAAAGGUGAUUUAGCACGUAGAAACCAAUUUGCCAAAUCAUUCAACUCAGACUUGGAAUUGCCUGUACAUUGCCGAAAUGGCGUGCCUCGUGUGUCUCUCUGCCUGUUCUUAGGCGUACGUCUCAUCCCAUGCAACAGCAAAAAGUAUAACAACCACACUUCUUAAACGCUGUUGGUUACCUUGUUGCAGCCAAAGGUGAAAGGUGUGACGAAGACAGAUUGAACCAUUGUAUGCAGCAUGCGGUUGCAGUGUAAUCCAGAAGUUGCUGUGCUGUUGUAGCUGAGCUGUUCCAUUCAUGACUUAAAAAUUUUUGUGUUUUCAUCCGUGUCUAUAUUUUGUGUUGCUGAGUUAUAAGUUUGAUCUGUUGUCUUUUGAGUUUUCAUUCAAUCAUGCAGUAUACGACUGAGGCAACCUGAUCAAUAUCAAGUUUGACACAGUUGAGAACUGCUAGAUUAAACAAACUUUCUGCUCCAAACAAAUAAUAACUUGCAUAUAACUUGCAUCAUGUUAUUAUCGCGGUAGAGAAAGCAACAGGCCCCCCCUCCUGGGGGCCACAGGAAAAAUAUGUGUAAAAUUAUAAAUGUUGUAUAAAUUUUUGUUAUAAAUAAAAUUUGUAUAUAAUAAAA
RNAcentral lists this long non-coding RNA (1586 nucleotides) under Daphnia pulex (common water flea). RNAcentral describes it as "uncharacterized LOC124193066". Lineage: Eukaryota; Metazoa; Arthropoda; Branchiopoda; Diplostraca; Daphniidae. The record is from RNAcentral.